GUUUUUUUAAGUCUUAUUGACCUUUCAAAGGAGCAGCAGCAAUGGCUGUGUGAUGGUUAUUUACAGGACAUGAAAAACACAUCUAUGACUGAGCGCAUUUCCCUAAUAAGUGCCAACAGUUCCAAGGAAGUCAUAGAAUGCACUUUAUUGAAAAUGGUAAAAGGCAAAAGCUGUAGCGAAAAAAACCUUUUCGCUUGCAUUCUAUCAGAUUGCUUUGAAGGCAUUAACCCGAAUAAAACAUGUGGUCAGAAAACUGCAAUGAAUGAAACAAUCUAUAUGUUACACUUCUGGUGUUUGCUGGUCAAACUAACCAACAAAUCCAUUGAAUUUAAAAAAGGUAAGAAACAAUCAUUCCUAGAGUUUAUUAUUAUUAGAGCUUAUUAUUUGAGGUGUUGAUAAAACCAGACUGCUCUGUGAGUGAAACUAAGACAGAGAGCAUGUGUUUAUGUGCAUCAAAGAAUGUUGAAGAGAAUCAGCUAUGGCACUAUGAACUAUGGUCAGAUUGGUCAGAACUGAAUUUGGAUGUGAAAUUUAAAUUGGAUGGUGCAAA
Molecule: long non-coding RNA, 550 nt
Organism: Fundulus heteroclitus (mummichog)
Lineage: Eukaryota; Metazoa; Chordata; Actinopteri; Cyprinodontiformes; Fundulidae
Exons: 4
Source: RefSeq, a predicted model, not a curated record